CAGCCGCCACGGUAAUACGAAGGGUGCAAGCGUUAAUCGGAAUUACUGGGCGUAAAGCGUGCGUAGGCGGUUUGUUAAGUCUGUUGUGAAAUCCCCGGGCUCAACCUGGGAAUGGCAAUGGAUACUGGCAAGCUAGAGUGUGUCAGAGGAUGGUGGAAUUCCCGGUGUAGCGGUGAAAUGCGUAGAGAUCGGGAGGAACAUCAGUGGCGAAGGCGGCCAUCUGGGACAACACUGACGCUGAGGCACGAAAGCGUGGGGAGCAAACAGGAUUAGAGACCCCUGUAGUCCCUGUCUCUUAUAC
RNAcentral lists this ribosomal RNA (301 nucleotides) under uncultured bacterium. Its description in RNAcentral is "partial 16S ribosomal RNA". It matches the Rfam family "Bacterial small subunit ribosomal RNA", at positions 509 to 807 of the family's 1533-position model. The record is from RNAcentral.